This is a long non-coding RNA of Acipenser ruthenus (sterlet), 3498 nucleotides long. RefSeq lists it as uncharacterized. NCBI's taxonomy places the organism in Eukaryota, Metazoa, Chordata, Actinopteri, Acipenseriformes, Acipenseridae. The record is from RefSeq and is a predicted model, not a curated record. The transcript has 10 exons.
CUUCCGAUUAGUAAAAAAUAAAUAAAGUGAAGCACGGUAGUUUCUUUAUAUAUAUAUAAAUUAGAAGCGUUGUUCAUGACUAAAAUGCACAAGUUGUGUAAAUUGUUUAUUUGAUAAAUGUGUUGUUUAAUUCGUAAUUACCGUACACAUAUUUUAUUUGUCACUGUGAGUCAUCAUCACGGGUUCCUCUUUACCGGCGGUGAUAUUUGAAACUUUUUUUUUUUUUUUUUUUAUCGAUCGACGUGGAAAACUGCGAUUCUUACAAAAACCAUAACCUGUAAAUAAUGUUAAUGUAACCUUAUUAAAGAAAGGGUACACCUCUUUAGUUUUAUUCCGAGCUUUGCUGGCGGUUUUCCUUUUUUUAAAUAAGAAAAUAAAAUGGCAAGACAAAGUCUUUAAUAAACCUCACAAGGUAGGCUCUGCCAAGGCACCAGUGGGAAACAAAAGGAUAGUUGGGAGGAAACCCUCUGCUGCCUCUGUAGAUUCUGGUUACUCGCUGUACUCCACAGACUCCGAAGACCAGCUAAUUUUUACAUAACAACAACAUUUAAAGGCAUAGUACCAAACUAUAAUGUGGCUGAGUAUUACUACAGGAACCUGAUUUUAAUCAAUAAUGUUCCCUUUCAGGUUACAACUAUACAUAAAGGACUUGACCGCUGUGCUGCUUUAUUACAAGGCAUUCUACAGACUGAAAAAUCUGAUGUAAAGCCUUCAUGCUCAAAACCAGGAAAGGUAACUGCUUCAAAACUCAAAAGUAACAUUUGGUAAAGGAGAGAAUGGCAGAAGGAAAGACCACCACAAAACUGGCUCUGUAACUCUGAAGGCAGCAGUGGAAAAGGUGAACCUGUUUUCCAGUACAAACCCUGUGAUGAAAGAAAAGCGCAGUUUAAAUACAGCACAGUCUCCAAAUGGUCAGCUGGUGUUCAUCUCGGUCCCUCAGCCCUCCCAUGAGGCUCAACCAGACCUGUCUGAUGAUGUUAAAACACAGAUAAUCAUUUUUUAAAUUUUCUUCCAUAUUUAGGAAAACAAAGUUCAAGUAUAUUUAACUGUCGCUUGACAACUUCCACUCCUGCUUUGUCUCCUCAAAAUUCAGCUAAUUCUCUGUGUUUUCCGACUAGCGUGUCCAAUGAUAUAUACAGCCAUGGGUCUCCACAAGGAGGGAUGAACUACUUUCCUGUAUAUGCAGGUCCAGCUACAGCAGUCCCAUACAACUCCAGCUGUAUUUACAUCCCCACCACCUGCUGUGUCUAGUGGAAAUUAAGUGCAGGAUGUACCCCAGCAACUCUAUGGCACUGAAGCAGGCUUGGGGCAGUCAAACCAUCAGCUGUUAAAGGAGCAGGAGUUGUUGAGACAUCUUUCCCAUCUUCAACUGCAAGAGCUGACUCUGAAGUUCACCAACUGAUAACAGAGGUUGAGGAGAGUGUCCUUGCUACCUACCAUGGUUGGAAGUACAAACGUGCAGGCAGAAAUAGCUUUGGCUCUGCAGCCCCAGCGAAGUGAGAAUGCACAGUUGCGCAGUUAUUUCACUGCAGUCUAUGAACAUGACAAUGCAGACCCAGUUGAAGGAAGCCCACAGGAGUGUGGAACUGCUACAGAAAAAGAAUGAAGAGCUGCUUAAAGUGAUUGAUGAUCAGAGAGAGAAGAAUAAACAGCUGUUGACAGUGAUGCAGGAAAAAAGAAGUGCUGCUGCAGAACAGACAGCAGUGUGAGGUGGACACAGCCAGGGUCAGGAUAGAUGUGGAUGAAGCUUUGUCAAAAAUGAAGAGUUUUCAGUUUAAAUUUGAGGCCUCAGAAAAGGAAAAUCAAAUUUUAAAUAUAAGUCUCAACAGCGUGAUGCUGAGGUAAACAGACUGCGAGAGUUAACCAGGACUUUGCAGGGCAGUAUGACCAGACUUCUUUCAGAACUCAAUAUGGACAAUAGCAGAUCCAAAGCAGGAUCCCACCUUAUUAAAACCAUUCUAGAACUCUAUGAAAACCAACAAAAGGUUGGCUUAGCAUCAGAUCCUGUCACAAAUUCAGUACACCUGUUCCUCAGCACUUUAGAGACUGACCAGUGGGGUUCAUCACCAGUCAACACUGCAUCAUCAAAUAAAAACUCAAACUUGGCAACACUGGAAAGUAUUUAUUGUUAUUCCAAUGGAUCUGCAGGCACACCGUGGAACAAGGGCAGUACUAUAGCCUCUUCUGAAAGAUUUUCACCAAGCAACCAAGGCAGAAUCUGAAAGUGAUGCUUGCUUUACUUUAUGUGAUAAACCAAAACUGGAUGAGACCACAUCUGUUCCAGUUCUCAGCAGUUCAAAGAAACAGGCCCUUGAGGUGAGGAAUGAAAUGCAUGCAUUUGAAUCAGUACAAUGUGAUGCAUCAAAGUCCUUAACUAAUACCUUUUCCAGAUUGGGUGAAUCAAAUGUACCAGAAAUUUCAAGUGAAGUUGCAAACAAGAUUGAAGGUCAGAUUCCAGGAAGACCUUUAAGUACACUGGACACUUUUCAUACCAGUAUUAUCAGAAACAAGUGAGAGAUGCUGCCGAUAAAUAAAAGUCCUCACAGCUCCUUGCUGCUUCAAAGAAACCGAGGGCAGAUGUACAAAAGUAGAAUAUCAACAGCUGACUCCACUUUUUCAACCUUUGAUGGAGAGUCAGUAAAUUCAGAUUGGAGCCUGAUGUCCCCAUCCACAUUUAACACUGGUGAUGAACAGGACUUCAGAAAUUGACUUGCAGUGCUGGAUGCCAGUAUCGCUAACUUACAAAAAACCAUACGGACUGAUCUUAAGAAAUCCUGUUUUUAAGGAAUGUAGAGAAAUCAAUUUUGAGCAGGUUUGUAGUGUGGAUAUAUUUGUAUGUAAAAGUGCAAUCAAUGUUUUAAAAUUAAUUUCAUUACAGAAACAUGUAUAUAAUAAAGUUAAAUGUUGUGUAGCACAUCUUGUAACUUUGUUUUUUUGUAUUACAUUUAGAAUGUAGUUCCAGGAGGACAUUUCAAUGUUUUUGCAUUAACCAAUGAAUACUACAGGAAAACAUUUCACAGUAUUACUCCUUGUGGUACCAGUUGUUGCUUCUGUACUCUCACCUUUUUUUAGUUUUGUUUGGUGCAUUCUUGAAUUGGUUUUUGCAACAGUAACUUCCAAAGACUGGUACAACAUUCCUCUCUUGACAGUAACGCUUUAGGGUGUGAAUUCACUUGAGGGGCAUCUUUCUUAAAAGCUCUUGUCUAUUUUUGAAGAGCAAAUAAUAAGGGCAGGAGUAGUGGGUAGGGCUCUGGACUCUUGACCGGAGGGUUGUGGGUUCAAUCCCCAGUGGGGGACACUGCUGUUGUACCCUUGAGCAAGGUACUUUACCAAGAUUGCUCCAGUAAAAACCCAACUGUAUAAAUGGGUAAUUGUAUGUAAAAAUACUGUGAUAUCUGUAUAAUGUGAAAUCUUGUAACAAUUGUAAGUCGCCCUGGCUAAGGGCGUCUGCUAAGAAAUAAAUAAUAAUUGUAUAAUUCAUUAAUACCAAGAUGUUUA